GUGAGAUUCAGAGCCGAAAAUCAGGUCUCCACAUAAAUAUCACUUCCAAGAGAAGCCAUCUCCAACCAACCUAUCAAAGAUUUUCUUUUCCCAGGAUGCU
Neogale vison (American mink) is the source of this 100-nucleotide long non-coding RNA. RefSeq lists it as uncharacterized. NCBI's taxonomy places the organism in Eukaryota, Metazoa, Chordata, Mammalia, Carnivora, Mustelidae. The record is from RefSeq and is a predicted model, not a curated record. The transcript is spliced from 3 exons.